Oryzias melastigma (Indian medaka) is the source of this 1923-nucleotide long non-coding RNA. RefSeq lists it as uncharacterized. Lineage: Eukaryota; Metazoa; Chordata; Actinopteri; Beloniformes; Adrianichthyidae. The transcript has 5 exons. The record is from RefSeq and is a predicted model, not a curated record.
UGAGGCAAACUUUUUUUGUGAUUUUGGGCUAUAUAAAUAAAACUGAAUUGAAUUCACAUACUGCUGUCAAACACUGGCGUCAACCAGGAGCAAUGUGGGGUUCAGUUGUAACAGUUCACUAGGAUCACUAGCAAGUUACUAAAAAAAUAAACACACAAAAGGGUUAAGCACAAAAGAAUUUCUUAAUGUGGAGAAAUUUAGGUGAAAUAUAGGUGAAACCUCAACUCAAAAUCUCAGGCUAAGCAGUUGCAUAAUCCAUACAUUCAAUGAUGUUCAUUAAAUAAUCAGCACAAAAAACAAAGAAACAUUUUAGUCCCGCUCAGUCUCAGUUCAGUCCAAAAUGAGUUCAAUUCCGCUCCGGAUCUUCAGAAGAAAUAUCCCCCCCCAAAAAAACAAAUGGGUCCUCAAAAAAUGAAUGUCCCUAAAGCGAUCGCUAAGUUUUCUGGUAUACCAGUAAUAAAAAAAAAAAGGUUGGAUCUCACCAGCGUUGUAUCCGAGGACUUGACGCGGCCUCGCGCAGCAAACCCUCCUGCGCGGAGAUCACAACGCAUGCUGGAUGCUGCGGGUCCCGGUGAUGCUUCCUCGAUAAUCCUUUUCCGAACUGGCCACGGUGGAUUACUUCCUUCGGCGAUCCAAGCGCUCCGCGUCUGGAAACGAGGCUCUCAAACAAAUACACCUGUGGAGCUGUCAGUCGCGCCCAGAGAGUGCGGAAGGGCAGAUCCUCGCGCCACGCCCCUCUACCUGGGUUUAUGAGGAAGUCAGCUGGGCUCCAGCUGUGCCAUCUUCCCCUCCUUAUAUAGUCUUUUACGGAAAGUCCUUCAAUUAUCUGAUUUCAUUUUGUUUUGUUUUACUGAAUAAUUUAAAACAGGCAACCAACAUCUUUUACAGCAAGAAUACAAAGUUGUUAUACAAAACAUAUAUUCCCCACUUUAAUUUUGAAUUUUUCUCAGGCGUUUUGUUAAACAUCAGUGUAAUGUGACGACGUCACAGAGUGUCUUGCUCAAAGACACUUUGGCACGUGGCCUGGCAGGAUAGGAACCAUACCCAAUUACCCCUGGCUGCAGCCUGCAGACCGGGGCGUGCCUCAACGUGGGCGGAGUUAAGCCUUUAAUGGGCGGAGUUAAACUUUAACGUUGAGGCGCGCCCACUGUUUCUGAUUCUUCUUCGUCACCGGAAUUGUCGUCUUCUUCUUUGCAUCUUACAAGUUUCCACAUCGAUUUUUGCAAAAUGGAGACACUCUGCACACCUUCUCUCCUCCUGGAGGACACUUGUCAGAGAUGAUGUUCCGGUCUGAUAUGUCAUUGUCUCAGCUGAAAUUUUCCAUUUGCUCUGUAUCCUUUAAUCAAAACAUUUUUUCACCCCCAGACUUUGUCCUAGUGGUGAUCUCCAACAACUGUGGGAUAUUUCUUAGAAUGGGUCUAAAGAAAACAGAAUGCAAGCCAGAAAACGGCACCGGGAAGAGCAGUAACCACAUGUGAGAGGAGGCCGUUUGGAUCACAGUGCAAAUAUUGCAGGGAGACCAGCUACUAUUUGAAGGGGGAGAUGACAUGAAGACCAACAGUGGGACAGAGAAGAUUAAGGAAAAAAAAACUCCUCCCUUAUCCAAGAAAUUGAAGAAGCAGCUUUACUGCAUGACAUCAUAAGGGCAGCCAAAUGCUCCAGAACACCAGCGUUUCCAGGAAGAUGGUCCCUGCCUGAUGUUAUAGAGAUGGAAGAGCGGAACACUGAAAGAACUCCAAAGCUGUGACUUCAUGAGUGAAGGGAAGAUAAUCAUGGAGCUGAGGGAUCCUUUCAUGUUCUCCUUUCAGUUGAAAAGUGACUGAAACAUUUUUAGUGCAGAAAUAAUGGAUGUAAGGAACUUAAAAGUGUAUAUGUGUUUUGAGGAGCAAUAAACAGUUUUGGCUGUUUGUUUCUUGAAAAAAA